AAGGCCUUUGGGCUGUAAACCUCUUUUCUCAAGGAAGAAGAUCUGACGGUACUUGAGGAAUAAGCCACGGCUAAUUCCGUGCCAGCAGCCGCGGUAAUACGGGAGUGGCAAGCGUUAUCCGGAAUUAUUGGGCGUAAAGCGUCCGCAGGUGGCCUAGCAAGUCCGUUGUUAAAUCGUGGGGCUUAACCCCAUCAUGAUGGUGGAAACUGCUGGGCUUGAGUGUGGUAGGGGCAGAGGGAAUUCCCGGUGUAGCGGUGAAAUGCGUAGAUAUCGGGAAGAACACCAGUGGCGAAGGCGCUCUGCUGGGCCAUCACUGACACUCAUGGACGAAAGCCAGGGGAGCGAAAGGGAUUAGAUACCCCUGUAGUCCUGGCCGUAAACGAUGAACACUAGGUGUCGGGGGAAUCGACCCCUUCGGUGCCGUAGCCAACGCGUUAAGUGUUCCGCCUGGGGAGUACGCACGCAAGUGUGAAACUCAAAGGAAUUGACGGGGGCCCGCACAAGCGGUGGAGUAUGUGGUUUAAUUCGAUGCAACGCGAAGAACCUUACCAGGGCUUGACAUCCUGCGAAUCUCUGAGAAAUUGGAGAGUGCCUUCGGGAACGCAGUGACAGGUGGUGCAUGGCUGUCGUCAGCUCGUGUCGUGAGAUGUUGGGUUAAGUCCCGCAACGAGCGCAACCCACGUCUUUAGUUGCCAGCAUUAAGUUGGGCACUCUAGAGAGACCGCCGGUGACAAACCGGAGGAAGGUGUGGACGACGUCAAGUCAUCAUGCCCCUUACGUCCUGGGCUACACACGUACUACAAUGCUACGGAUAAAGGGCAGCAAACUCGCGAGAGCUAGCAAAUCCCGUAAACCGUGGCUCAGUUCAGAUCGUAGGCUGCAACUCGCCUACGUGAAGUAGGAAUCGCUAGUAAUCGCAGNUCAGCAUACUGCGGUGAAUACG
RNAcentral lists this ribosomal RNA (943 nucleotides) under uncultured cyanobacterium. RNAcentral describes it as "bacterial SSU rRNA". It matches the Rfam family "Bacterial small subunit ribosomal RNA", at positions 411 to 1370 of the family's 1533-position model. The record is from RNAcentral. Lineage: Bacteria; Bacillati; Cyanobacteriota.